GACGAACGCUGGCGGCGUGCUUAACACAUGCAAGUCGAGCGGUAAGGCCCUUCGGGGUACACGAGCGGCGAACGGGUGAGUAACACGUGAGCAAUCUGCCCUCCACAUCGGGAUAACCCCCGGAAACGGGAGCUAAUACCGGAUGCGACCACUUCAGGCAUCUGAUGGUGGUGGAAAGUUCCGGCGGUGGAGGAUGAGCUCGCGGCCUAUCAGCUUGUUGGUGGGGUAACGGCCCACCAAGGCUUCGACGGGUAGCCGGCCUGAGAGGGUGACCGGCCACACUGGGACUGAUACACGGCCCAGACUCCUACGGGAGGCAGCAGUGGGGAAUAUUGGACAAUGGGCGAAAGCCUGAUCCAGCUACGCCACGUGAGGGAUGACAGCCUUCCGGUUGUAAACCUCUUUCAGCGCAGACGAAGCGAAUGUGACGGUAUGCGCAGAAUAAGCACCGGCCAACUACAUGCCAGCUACCGCGGUAAUACGCAAGGUGCGAGCGUUGUCCGGAAUUAUUGGGCGUAAAGGGCUCGUAGGCGGUCUGUUGCGUCAGGAGUGAAACUCGGGGCUUAACCCCGAGCCUGCUUCUGAUACGGGCAGACUAGAGGUAUGCAGGGGAGAACGGAAUUCCUGGUGUAGCGGUGAAAUGCGCAGAUAUCAGGAGGAACACCGGUGGCGAAGGCGGUUCUCUGGGCAUUACCUGACGCUGAGGAGCGAAAGUGUGGGGAGCGAACAGGAUUAGAUACCCUGGUAGUCCACACCGUAAACGUUGGGCGCUAGGUGUGGGACUCAUUCCACGAGUUCCGUGCCGCAGCUAACGCAUUAAGCGCCCCGCCUGGGGAGUACGGCCGCAAGGCUAAAACUCAAAGGAAUUGACGGGGGCCCGCACAAGCGGCGGAGCAUGCGGAUUAAUUCGAUGCAACGCGAAGAACCUUACCUAGGUUUGACAUAUACGAGAAGCCUCUGGAGACAGAGGUCUCUUUGGACACUUGUAUACAGGUGGUGCAUGGCUGCCGUCAGCUCGUGUCGUGAGAUGUUGGGUUAAGUCCCGCAACGAGCGCAACCCUCGUCUUAUGUUGCCAGCACGUCAUGGUGGGGACUCAUAAGAGACUGCCGGGGUCAACUCGGAGGAAGGUGGGGAUGACGUCAAGUCAUCAUGCCCCUUAUGCCUAGGGCUUCACGCAUGCUACAAUGGCCGGUACAAAGGGCUGCGAUACCGCAAGGUGGAGCGAAUCCCAAAAAGCCGGUCUCAGUUCGGAUUGGGGUCUGCAACUCGACCCCAUGAAGUCGGAGUCGCUAGUAAUCGCAGAUCAGCAACGCUGCGGUGAAUACGUUCCCGGGCCU
This 1338-nucleotide ribosomal RNA is filed under the name uncultured bacterium. RNAcentral's name for it is "bacterial SSU rRNA". It matches the Rfam family "Bacterial small subunit ribosomal RNA", at positions 28 to 1381 of the family's 1533-position model. The record is from RNAcentral.